Long non-coding RNA from Cloeon dipterum, 358 nucleotides. RefSeq lists it as uncharacterized. The transcript has 4 exons. NCBI's taxonomy places the organism in Eukaryota, Metazoa, Arthropoda, Insecta, Ephemeroptera, Baetidae. The record is from RefSeq and is a predicted model, not a curated record.
CCGGAAUUGAUUGUGAAACAAGCAAUUUGUCAGGCCUGCGUGUGAUAGAGUUUGCUACUCGUCACGGCAAAAAUGGUUCAACUUAGGACAAUUUUAUGCAUAAUUCUGAUUUCGAGUAUAGCUUGCUGCUUGCUAUUGACCAACGCGAAAAAUGUGAAUAGAAAACAACAAAAAAUUGGAGCAGUUAGAAAGCCUUGGCGAUCUCGUGAGCACAAAAAGAAUUAUAUAAUUAAGUGCUGCGGGAAAUUAUCGUGUUCCGAAGGAUCACCAAAUCGUUCACGAAUUAUCAGUACUUCUUCACAAGAAUCAAUAACAUCAACACCAGCAAUCCUUUCCACCACCAACCUGAUCAAAAUCG